GACGAACGCUGGCGGCGUGCUUAACACAUGCAAGUCGAGCGGUAAGGCCCUUUCCGGGGGUACACGAGCGGCGAACGGGUGAGUAACACGUGGGUGACCUGCCCUCAGCUCUGGGAUAAGCCUGGGAAACCGGGUCUAAUACCGGAUAUGACUCCAUGACGCAUGUUGUGGGGUGGAAAGCCUUGUGCGGCUGAGGAUGGGCCCGCGGCCUAUCAGCUUGUUGGUGGGGUGAUGGCCUACCAAGGCGACGACGGGUAGCCGGCCUGAGAGGGCGACCGGCCACACUGGGACUGAGACACGGCCCAGACUCCUACGGGAGGCAGCAGUGGGGAAUCUUGCGCAA
Molecule: ribosomal RNA, 343 nt
Filed under: uncultured bacterium
Lineage: Bacteria
Description: bacterial SSU rRNA
Rfam family: Bacterial small subunit ribosomal RNA
Source: RNAcentral